AUCCUUCGGGAUAGUGGCGCACGGGUGAGUAACGCGUAGGAAUCUACCUAUCAGUCUGGGAUAACAGCGGGAAACUGCUGCUAAUACCGGAUAUUCCCUGCGGGGGAAAGAUUUAUCGCUGAUAGAUGAGCCUGCGUUGGAUUAGCUAGUUGGUGAGGUAAUGGCUCACCAAGGCUCCGAUCCAUAGCUGGUCUGAGAGGAUGAUCAGCCACACUGGGACUGAGACACGGCCCAGACUCC
Molecule: ribosomal RNA, 240 nt
Filed under: uncultured bacterium
Lineage: Bacteria
Description: partial 16S ribosomal RNA
Rfam family: Bacterial small subunit ribosomal RNA
Source: RNAcentral